GACGAACGCUGGCGGCGUGCUUAAUACAUGCAAGUCGAACGGAAAGGCCCUGCUUUUGUGGGGUGCUCGUGUGGCGAACGGGUGAGUAUAACGUGUGUAACAUGCCCUUAUCUGUGUGAUAACUUCUGGAAACAGCGGCUCAUACAGGAUAGAAUCUUCUGCUGCAUGUUGGUGGUAGGAAAGUGUCGGCGGUGGGGGAUGGACUCGCGGCUUAUCAGCUUGUUUGUGAGGUAGGUGCGUUCCAAGGCUUUGACGGGUAGCCGGCAUGGGAGGGUGACCGGCGACAUUGCGACUGCGGUAGGCACCAGAAUCCUACGGUACGCAGUAGGCGGGAGUAUUGCGCAAUGGGCGCAAGCGAGAUGUAGCGACCCUGCGUGCGGGAUGACGUGUUUCGGGUUGUAAACAUCUUUGGAAGGAGCCGAGGCGUGCGUGACGGUACCGGGUCAAAAAGCAACGGCUAACUACGUG
This 468-nucleotide ribosomal RNA is filed under the name uncultured bacterium. RNAcentral's name for it is "partial 16S ribosomal RNA". It matches the Rfam family "Bacterial small subunit ribosomal RNA", at positions 28 to 507 of the family's 1533-position model. The record is from RNAcentral.